UCCGGCCGCUUCUCCGUCGCCUCGAUCCUUUGGUUCAUCCUCUGAAUCUCUGACUCAAGAUCUCUCUGCUCAUCUUUCAACCGUUCGAUCUCCCUCACGAUCUCACCGUCCUCCAUCUCCUGGCCGUAUACCAUCCCACGCGCGUGUUUCCUACGCGCUAUGUUCUUGAGCAGGUGCUUCUGUCCUCUGAGAAAAUGCUCGUUCGCAAACUCCCACCGGUCUGGAUCCACUUUCCUAAACCCCUGAAAUGAAAAAAAAAACAUAGCAAAUCAAUAUUAACUCCGAGCAUAGUUGGCAAGAUUCGUUGAGAGAAGUCGAGAGGAUCAACGACGAUGAAGCUGUUGUGUGCAGGCCCCCAAGUGAUGAGCCAAUCGGUCGAAGGGUCGUUGACCAUCUGAUAUGUCUUCACAACAAAAGGUGCGAUCACGUUUGUGUUGGUGUUAUUAUUAUUGUCGUCCUCCAUUUCUUUUUCCUCUCCUCUCUUUUUCUUUUAUCGCUUUCUAUGUUUGCUGUUGGUAAAGAAAUUAAAGAGGAAGCUUGCGGGUUUAUAUAAACAAAAAAAUAGGAUGGAAAUAGUAUAGUUGACAGUGAGACAUGUGUGAUGUGGCUUACUUUUGUGAUAACGUGGCAAGCUCGUGUUUUGCU
Brassica rapa (field mustard) is the source of this 645-nucleotide long non-coding RNA. RefSeq lists it as uncharacterized. The record is from RefSeq and is a predicted model, not a curated record. NCBI's taxonomy places the organism in Eukaryota, Viridiplantae, Streptophyta, Magnoliopsida, Brassicales, Brassicaceae.